This 1536-nucleotide long non-coding RNA is filed under the name Equus asinus (donkey). Its description in RNAcentral is "lncRNA (ENSEASG00005036652.1)". Lineage: Eukaryota; Metazoa; Chordata; Mammalia; Perissodactyla; Equidae. The record is from RNAcentral.
CACGUUCCUGUUCAUUCACACAGAAUCCGGGGCAUGAAUGUUCUUAGCAGCUCUGUUCCACACAGCCCCACACUGGAAACCACACAGACGUCCUGCGAGUCCCAUCCCUUGCUCAUGUCGCCGGGGCUCCGGAGGAGGGCCACUCUGUAAAAGCGGCCGCCAGAUGGCGCCCAACGACCGGCGCGGAGGGGUCAGCGGGAGGGAACCGGGUCACCAGCCAGCGAGAGUGCACAGCCUGAGCCCACCGCCGGGUCAGGUCUCUCUCUGUCUCUGUCUCUGUCUCUGUCUCUGUCUCUCUCUGUCUCUGUCUCUGUCUCUGUCUCUCUCUGUCUCUCUGGGCCCGCUUGGGGCGGGCGGGAGGUCACCACGUGAGGCCCCAGGGUGUCCACCUCGGAGCUCCCAGGCAGCACAGGGCAACCCUGGGCGCAGAAGGAGGUGUUGGAAAAUCGGCGGGGAGGGGGGUGGGGUGGGUGGGCUUGCCAGGAAGGGGACAGACUCCCCACGUGACUCCUGGGCCGGGCCGGGGCUGCCAGCUGGCUGACGCGGACAGAGGUGGAAAAGUCCCCGGAGAUGCCACGGGGCAGGCCGGGGCUGCCGGCCCCCGCUUCCCGGAGCGCCCGAGCACUUCCCGGGCUCCCGGGAGGACUUAGAAAAUCAGGGCGGGGUGGGGGGUGGGGGUCGCUGUCAAACCGAAACCAUGCACGUCAUCAGAGAAGGACCGUGACGACGGAGGAAUUGUCCGCAGUCUGUCAGGAAUUGUGUGCAGCCUGUCACUUCCGGCCCAGAGGGUCUCUCUAAGGCAGACGGACAGACAGAGCCCACAAGUCGUAGAGGAAAGGACCGAGCCGCUUGGCCGCGGAAAAGUUUACAACACAAAACAGCGGUGCACGUAUUUCCCUUCCAAAAAAGAAGAACGGGAAAGGAGAUGUUAAAGGAGGAGACUAGAAGUUAGAGAAAAGUAUCCUUUCGGGAGUGAGAAAAACAAAUUCUGAUUUUGCAUCAGCUUCCCUCCGAUCUUGAAACUCAUUGACUUGAUUCCAUUCUGUCGACGGAAAUAAUCCGGAACCAAUCUAUCCGUGAAAAUCGGGGGCACAACCAAAGGGACGUCUAUCGACCCACCCACCAAGGAUUCCCCCCCCCCGCACGGCACAGCAGGAUGCCUGAGAGAUCCAUGCAGCCCUACAGUGGCAAGUCACAUUCGCACAGUCAAAACUCAAUGGCAGAGACAAAACGUUAAGGUCAGCGAGAGGGAAGAGAAUAACCGGCCCAGGAGCAACGGUGUGAAGAACACGGAGAAGACGGGUCCUAGACGCCGGGGUCCCCGGAGCAGCGAUUUCAUCAGAGGCCCGCGAACGUCCACGAUCUCCACACCACGUUUAUGGCCGACUGCGUGCGUGGGUCCUUUGGAAUCGACCAGGCUACUGUCCGGGCCACUUUGGGACAUCGUGGCCAGCUGCCCCGAGCGGUGGAGCUGUCAUUCGAGUGUAAGAUGGGGCCUGUCCGGGGAGAGAAUGGGGAUGGGGAAAGGGAGGCCGC